AUGAAGAACGUAGUGAAAUGCGAUACGUAAUGUGAAUUGCAGAAUUCAGUGAAUCAUCGAGUCUUUGAACGCACAUUGCGCCCCCUGGUAUUCCGGGGGGCAUGCCUGUCCGAGCGUCAUUGCUGCCCUCAAGCACGGCUUGUGUGUUGGGCCUCCGUCCUCCUCCCGGGGGACGGGCCCGAAAGGCAGCGGCGGCACCGCGUCCGGUCCUCGAGCGUAUGGGGCUUCGUCACCCGCUCUUGUAGGCCCGGCCGGCGCUUGCCGACACAUCAAUCUUUUUUCCAGGUUGACCUCGGAUCAGGUAGGGAUACCCGCUGAACUUAAGCAUAUCAAUAAGCGGAGGA
RNAcentral lists this unclassified non-coding RNA (344 nucleotides) under soil metagenome. RNAcentral describes it as "partial contains 5.8S ribosomal RNA, internal transcribed spacer 2, and large subunit ribosomal RNA". The stretch from base 1 to 119 matches the Rfam family "5.8S ribosomal RNA", at positions 36 to 154 of the family's 154-position model. The record is from RNAcentral.